GAUGGCAGCGACCUGCUAAAAUCCAGACAGACGGCAGCGACCUGCUAACAUCCAGACGGCAGCGACCUGCUAACAUCCAGACGGACGGCAGCGACCUGCAGGAGGAGGAAUUAUUCCCCUGAACGGUCGCCCUCCGGCUGGUUGAGUUCUGGUCACUGAACAAAGGACCUCCAGGCUUCAUCUCAAGAUGGAAAAUACUGUGGAACUAAACCAGGAGACACCAGAACAACAGCAGACGACUCGGACAAAAGAGGAAGCAAUACCUCAACCAAUUAAACGGGAAAAGGUUGAUGUGAGCAUCUGUCAGGAGGGGAGGCGGGUUCUAGUGAAGGAGGAGGAGAAUCCUUUGAUGGUGACUCCUGAUUAUGCAGAAAUGCUUUACAAUGUAAAGGACCUGCAACAGACAGGAGAGACCAAGGAGGAACCAGAACUCAUACCGGUUAAAGGGGAACAGGAGGAACCAGAACCUGUACAGGUUAAAGGGGAACAGGAGGAACCAGAACCUUUACCGGUUAAAGGGGAACAGGAGGAACCAGAACCUGUACAGGUUAAAGGGGAAACAGAAGAUGAAGAGCAGCUUGCUGUGAAGCAGGAGGAGGAAACCUUCAUGGUUCAUCCUAACUGUGAACAAACAGAAAACAAAGAACUAGGAACAUUUAAGAACCAACCACCCUGUCCAAACUGGCCUGAAGCUGAGAACCGACAUCAGCAGAAAAGCAGCCAUGACGAUUUGACGUCAGGUACAGAUGAAGAGCUUCAGCCAGAGAUGAGACAUCAGAACAGCGGGACCAAUCCACAGACAUCCAUGUAUGAAGUGGAUCUGUUUUCCUGUGAAGUUUGUGGUAAAUCUUUCAACAAGCAAAAGUGCUUGACUGUCCACAUGAGAACUCACACAGGGGAGAAACCUUAUCCUUGUAAAUUGUGUGGUAAAUCUUUUGCCAUCUAUGGUACCAGAACUAGACACAUGAGAAUUCACACAGGAGAGAAACCAUUCACUUGUGAAGUAUGCGGUAAAUCUUUCAGACACUCCUACCAGCUACGUCAUCAUCUAAGAACUCACACAGGGGAGAAGCCUUUCUCAUGUUUGAUGUGUGGAAAAGAUUUCAGCCAGCAAUCUAACCUAACUGUGCACAUGAGAACUCAUACAGGUGAGAAGCCUUUCACAUGUUUGAGAUGUAGAAAAUGUUUCACUAGGCAAAGUACUUUGAUUGAGCACAUGAGAACUCACACAGGUGAGAAGCCGUAUUCUUGUCAAUUAUGUGGUAAUACAUUUAGAUACAGUCGCCAUUUGACUCUUCAUGCAAGGACUCACACAGGCGAGAAGCCUUUUUCAUGUUGGACCUGUGGAAAAAAAUUCUCAAGGCAGUCCAACUUGAAUGUUCACAUGAAAAUUCACACAGGUAAGAAGCAACAUCCUUGAGAUUUGGGCUACAAGUCUUUAAUGACAGGUAGUCAAUCUGCCAAGACGAGGUCUUGAAACUGACAUCUGACAUUCUCUGUCAUGGUGGCUGAUAAACUGUCAAAAUGGACAGCAUUUAACAGGAAGUAAGUUAAAAUCUCCUGAAAUUCCUCCAAAUACCUUAGGUUGAAGUACCUACAGUAAGAAAAACAGCUGAUGACAUCACAGGCAUUGUCAGCCACGAAUGAUUGCGCAAACACUACUUUUGUCAAAAUAAUCCUGAAUCAACUCGCAUAAAUAAUUUGAUAUAAAUGGACCGCUGAAACCCUGGAUCAGAGACGAUGUCUCCCUUUAGUUUGUCCUGGAUUAUUCAGCACUGCUAAUCCACCUCCUGUGAUUUUAUCCUACUCAGGCAGAGAGUAAAUAUCCUUAUAGCACCUGUUCAAGUUAGUGGACUUCACAGCACUUUACACUAUUUCCCCUCAGUCAUUCAGACACGGAUGGUGGUGAGGCUGCUGUGCCACCACCCCCCCGAUCGCCAUCACUAGGUCAUGUGAAGUGUCCUAUCCAAGAGGACCAUGAAUGAGACGGACUUCUGCAUAAUCCUGCAGGCCCAUCACACAGCCUAGAUGAGCCUAUGAGGCAAGAAGUGCGGCAGAACCGUCAGCAUCAAAAGCCGAGCAGUGAGGUGAUAAACAGGAGGAGAAGGAAAACAGACUGGAAAGAAACACAGAUGUUAGAGUUAAUUAAGAAAUACAUUUUUUCUUUGUCUGCAGGGAAUAUUUUCACCUAACCCUAACAGUAGAGAUAGAUUCAUUUCUGGCAUCAGAGAAGAUCAGAUGAACAGAAGUACAGUCGCCAACAUUUAUGAAGAGCAGCUCAACGCCCCCCCCAUCCCCAUUGGAUAAGAGGCUGUUAGUAAAGAGGAAGGAGCCUCUUAGAUGUUUUUACAACUUUGGAUGAUGACAUCACUAUGCUAGGGGGCGUGGCCAUUUCUAAUGUUGGAGCUCGUUAAUGAUGUUAACAACAUGUCAGGGUUCGACAGCACUGGGUUAGGAUCACUGCUGCUCUGUCAUAAAUGCAUUUUUAUGUUAAAUAUUGUUUUUAAUGAAUGAUGAAUUCCAAUCAUCAUAUGAUAUCUGCAUAUAAAUCUAAUGAGUUACGUUAAAAAAGUCUUUAUUUCAAUUCAUCAACUUUUCAGUUUAUCUGAUUGGUUUUGAUGCGUUUGAUUUUUAUUUUUAAAUUUAAGCUGAAAUAUGAACAAGGAUGUUAAAAUCACAUGUAAAAUGUUUUAUUGA
RNA transcript from Cyprinodon variegatus (sheepshead minnow), 2697 nucleotides. It is a transcript of the gene named zinc finger protein OZF-like, with no coding region annotated. NCBI's taxonomy places the organism in Eukaryota, Metazoa, Chordata, Actinopteri, Cyprinodontiformes, Cyprinodontidae. The transcript is spliced from 3 exons. The record is from RefSeq and is a predicted model, not a curated record.